GAAAACUGAUCAUCUGCAAGUCUUUAAGUUGCACACAUACCCAUGUUGCCAUGACACUUGAAGGUCUGAGGAGCAUGCAGAGGCAAAUUACAGCUCCUGCGUCAUGGAAGCCUGGUAGAGUAGCAGAGCAUUGGGGUAUGGGAAAUAAUAAAUGUGUAUUUCCUGGUUUCUAGCACAUCUUGUCGGCUCAGCACCUUCAGGAGAGCAGGUCUACACUAGGCAGAGGUCUCCUGAGAUAGAAGUGACGACCAGUUGUCCUUCUGGAAGGAAAGCAAUGACCAGAUGGUGCCUGACCUGUGCUAAUUACUUUUCCUCCAAACCACUUCUGAACCAUUAUUUUUCUUUCUUCAUCCUCACCCAACAGUCUUCCUCCUCAGACUUCAGAAAUGGUCUCAGUUUACAGUGCCCUUUUUCACUUCUUCCCUGGAAAUCAUGUUUGUUUUGUGAUCACACCAGUUUAGCUUCUGCCCAUUUAAUACAUGCAGCCUUAUUUCUCAAUCUCAGUUUUUUUAGAUAUCAAGAGAAUAUAAGCCCCUUGUUUUCCCACUGCUUUAUACACAGCCACUCAUUUGUACAACACCCAAAGGAAUUGAGUCAUUUUUAUUGUUGCCUUCUUAAAGGGAUUAUUAAAAGACUGAGGUACUCACCAUACCAAGUCCUCCUUCUUUUAUCUCCUGCACUGGUGACACUGAGUCAAAGAUAAAUGUUUGGAGAACUGUAAGAAACCAAAUAGAUUGUCCAUCUCCAAGACAUGAUGGGGAAAAAAAAUCAUGUCUGUGCAACACAUUUACAGGAAAUUAAGGCUGUGCCAUCAGUAUCCUCAACAUAAUAGAGACAGGUUCUUGUAUGUCUCAGCCCAGAAAAGUAAUAGGAUAGGUACGUGGUGGCUAACACAGGUUUCUGAGAUUUAACCAUAUUAUUUCUGCACUUCUGUUUCCAAAUAAAGUAAGCAAUAGAUGUUGGUGUUUGAAUUCUUUAGGAUUAGUAAAGGUAAUCCUUUAAGUCAAGGAUGAUAAAGAUGAUAAUCAUAGAAUCGACUAUGUUGGUAAAGUCCUUUAAGAUCAUCAAGAACAACCAUUACACCAGGACUGCUAAGACCACCACUAAACUAUGUCCCUCUGCCGUGGUUCUAAGGCCAGUUACAUUAGCUGAGAGCUGGGGAUUAAUUUCUGUGUUUCAUAUAUCAAAGUUAAAAUCUGACAUUUAAACAGGGCACAUCUAGUACUCCAUUUUGCUGUACUCAGUUCUGGCAAUUUGUAGCUAACAGUCAAAUGCUGAAUAUGGACUAUGAAAUUUAAAAGGAUUUAAAAUUAUUCCUUCCAAACCUCAAGUUUUCUUUCUCUCUAAAUGAAUUCCUGUGGAAAGCAAAAAAGUUAAACUGAAAUAGUAGUAGAAGGAUUAAACAGAAUACUGUGGCUUUGGACAAAGGUCUGAGACCUCAGAUCACCAGCUCUGGCUUAGUAUAUAUAACAGUGUGAAAAUCAAGCAAACACUAAUAUAUGACCAACUCAUAUAGAGAUACCAGUUAAGUUAAAAUAAAGUAAGAUAAUUUGACAAAUUAAGUUGCAGAUUCAUAGAAAAGUAAAUCUUGAUCUCCUUCUGUCCCUGAUAAAGCCAACAGAGUUAUAACUAAGAUGGAAAUCCUCUCGGUUUGACAUGCAAGUCUACGUGCAUCAUACCAAUGAUGAAAAGCAAUCUGAGGUGGAGUGAGUUAGGAGAGACAAUAAGGACAACAAUUACCUUGACUGAGUGACAAACAGGGGUAUUUGAGGGACAAUGACUACAAAUGAGGAAAAGAAUCGUUCAAUUCGCCUAGGGCAAACCAAGAAGCUGUAUAAAAGCACCUGUAGCCCAGUGUCUUCAAACCACUUCUCUUCCAGACUCCUUCCACUUCUGCUGGUCAACCAGGCUUACUUCCAGCCAGAAAGAUGUCUUUCAAUGGACAGGUCUGCAACUAUGGCAGCUACUCAGCUGAUGAUGUGAACUGCCCCGCACCAUACGCCAAUGCCUGGAGCAGCGAGCCCUGUGUCGCCUCCUGUGGGGACUCCCGUGCUGUGGUCUACCCACCACCUGUGACCAUUGUCUUCCCAGGCCCCAUGCUCAGCUCCUGCCCUCAGGAGAGCAUUGUGGGCUCCUUAUCCCCACUGGGGAUAGGCAGCUCCUUUGGGUAUGGGAGCUCCCAGAAUAUGCAGAGCUCCUUUGGUUCUGGCAUGUCCCUGGGUGGCAGGUACUCCUAUCCCUGCUACUCCCGCAGCUAUGGGACAUACCACUCUGCAAAGUCUGGCAAGACUUCCCAGGAUAGCAAGACCCAAGAGAAGCCAAACCAAAACAAGAGCUCAUGAGUGAACAGAGAGAUGUGGCUUUAGAGAGGCAGUGAGAGUUCUCAGGAACAGGACACCCUCAUCCAUCCUGAGAAACAAGUCCAGAAUAUCAAUUUCCUCUGUAUAAUAGAUCUCUGCUCACCAUGUUCUGGCUGUGUGCCCUUUUCACUUUGCUUUAUGUGUAAAUUUAACUUAACUUCUCUGUGCCAUUCCCUGCAGUAUUCCUGUGGUCUGAUAAAUCUCAUUUGUCAGUUCCAAUAAAAUCCUUUCUGCAUCACA
Melopsittacus undulatus (budgerigar) is the source of this 2600-nucleotide long non-coding RNA. RefSeq lists it as uncharacterized. The record is from RefSeq and is a predicted model, not a curated record. NCBI's taxonomy places the organism in Eukaryota, Metazoa, Chordata, Aves, Psittaciformes, Psittaculidae. The transcript has 2 exons.